This is a non-coding RNA of Podarcis lilfordi (Lilford's wall lizard), 74 nucleotides long. The record is from the annotation of a GenBank genome assembly. Lineage: Eukaryota; Metazoa; Chordata; Lepidosauria; Squamata; Lacertidae.
UCCCCAAAUAACUCAGCCGGUAGAGCAAUAAACUCUUAAUCUCAGGGUCGUGGGUUCGAGUCUCGCAUGGGCAA